CCCACCUCUAAUGUGAUUCAUUGGUAAUUCAGUUCCUGAGGCUGAACUUGAAGCUGGGUUUAAAAGUCUCAUUAAAUUCGACUUAUUUCUGAGUAGAAAAUACAUAGGAUAGCUCUAUAAGAUUCUAUUUUAAAUCCUAGGUCAUGGAAGACUCUACUGGGACUGAACCUAUUCUGAACAAAGAUGCACUGGAUUCUCUUCUAGGGGAGAAUUCCUUUGAUGGGAUAUUGCAUUGGGCAUUCCAGAGCAUGUCACGUCCUUUGUCAGACAACCAAGGAUUAUUGUCGUAGAACUCUGGAUUUGAUAAUGUAUUGUCACAGUUUAAAUACUGAUCUGACUGUGUCACUGUAAUAUGAAAAAGCAGUUGUUCAGAGCUGAAACACUGGGAUCCAAUACUAAAUCAAUAUAGUCUCUAUAUCUUUCUGAUGAUGAUUUUAUUAGCUGAUACCUUUAUGCUUGUUUCUGGUCAUGAGAAUGGACUUGUUAAUUGAUCUGUACUUGAAUAGCUGAUCAUGCUAAUCUCUUGCUGAUAACUACAUGAUGGAAUAUUAAUUGAUAUGCAAGAUAUUUAGAAAUGUCCUUUUCUCACAGAAUUGCAUGCUGAAUACUAUCCUUCAGUAUGUUCCGUGUUUCCUUCUCUAGUAAAAUAAUGUUCAUUCACUGCGCGUCAUUGAAACAGACCAUGCUGCAGCUCAGAUCUGACGAGACAGGCAUGCUCUCUAGAUUAUUCUCCACAGUCAGUUGAGACUUUUGUAAUUUUAGGCAUCAAUGACUGUGAAAGCCCUGAAUUCUAGAACAUUUGGUCUCACACAGAAGCUGAAACUGUAUAACAAGAGGGAACAGAUAGGCUGGAAUUAAAAAAAGGGAAGCAAGAUAGCUAAGGGUGCACUCAAGGAAAAAUGGUCAGUUAGUUAACUGUUUUUCAGCUUUAGUAGACUUUCAGAUUCAGGCGUUUCUGGAAGCAUAAUGACCACCAGUCCUUUUCUUUGUGGCUGCUAUAGAAAUGAAUGUCUGUAAGGUGAUUAAUCA
This 1029-nucleotide long non-coding RNA is filed under the name Pogona vitticeps (central bearded dragon). RNAcentral describes it as "lncRNA (ENSPVIG00000023741.1)". The record is from RNAcentral. Lineage: Eukaryota; Metazoa; Chordata; Lepidosauria; Squamata; Agamidae.